RNAcentral lists this ribosomal RNA (253 nucleotides) under uncultured bacterium. RNAcentral's name for it is "partial 16S ribosomal RNA". It matches the Rfam family "Bacterial small subunit ribosomal RNA", at positions 524 to 776 of the family's 1533-position model. The record is from RNAcentral.
UACGUAGGGUGCGAGCGUUGUCCGGAUUUAUUGGGCGUAAAGGGCUCGUAGGCGGCCUGUCGCGUCGGGAGUGAAAGCCCACUGCUUAACGGUGGGUCUGCUUCCGGUACAGGCGGGCUGGAGUAUGGCAGGGGAGACUGGAAUUCCUGGUGUAGCGGUGGAAUGCGCAGAUAUCAGGAGGAACACCGGUGGCGAAGGCGGGUCUCUGGGCCAUUACUGACGCUGAGGAGCGAAAGCGUGGGGAGCGAACAGG